GAUGAACGCUGGCGGCGUGCUUAACACAUGCAAGUCGAACGGGAAAUAUUUCAUUGAGACUUCGGUGGAUUUGAUUUAUUUCUAGUGGCGGCCGGGUGAGUAACGCGUGGGUAACCUGCCUUAUCUAGGGGGAUAACAGUCAGAAAUGGCUGCUAAUAUCGCAUAAGCGCACAGAGCUGCAUGGCUCAGUGUGAAAAACUCCGGUGGAAUAAGCUGGACCCGCUUUGGUUUAGCUAGUUGGUAGGGAAACGGACCACCAAGGCGCCGAUCCAUAGCCGGCCUGAGAGGGUGAACCGCCACAUUUGGACGGAGACACGGCCGAGACUCCUACGGGAAGCAGCAGUGGGUAAUAUUGCACAAUGGGGGAAACCCUGAUGCAGCGACGCCGCGUGAAGGAAGAAGUAUCUCGGGAUGUAAACUUCUAUCAGCAGGGAAGAUAGUGACGGUACCUGACUAAGAAGCCCCGGCUAACUACGUG
This 478-nucleotide ribosomal RNA is filed under the name uncultured bacterium. RNAcentral describes it as "partial 16S ribosomal RNA". It matches the Rfam family "Bacterial small subunit ribosomal RNA", at positions 28 to 507 of the family's 1533-position model. The record is from RNAcentral.